RNAcentral lists this ribosomal RNA (617 nucleotides) under uncultured bacterium. Its description in RNAcentral is "bacterial SSU rRNA". It matches the Rfam family "Bacterial small subunit ribosomal RNA", at positions 8 to 607 of the family's 1533-position model. The record is from RNAcentral.
AGAGUUUGAUCCUGGCUCAGGAUGAACGCUGGCGGCGUGCCUAAUACAUGCAAGUCGAACGCACAGCGAAAGGUGCUUGCACCUUUCAAGUGAGUGGCGAACGGGUGAGUAACACGUGGACAACCUGCCUCAAGGCUGGGGAUAACAUUUGGAAACAGAUGCUAAUACCGAAUAAAACUCAGUGUCGCAUGACACAAAGUUAAAAGGCGCUUUGGCGUCACCUAGAGAUGGAUCCGCGGUGCAUUAGUUAGUUGGUGGGGUAAAGGCCUACCAAGACAAUGAUGCAUAGCCGAGUUGAGAGACUGAUCGGCCACAUUGGGACUGAGACACGACCCAAACUCCUACGGGAGGCUGCAGUAGGGAAUCUUCCACAAUGGGCGAAAGCCUGAUGGAGCAACGCCGCGUGUGUGAUGGAGGCUUUCGGGUCGUAAAGCACUGUUGUAUGGGAAGAACAGCUAGAAUAGGGAAUGAUUUUAGUUUGACGGUACCAUACCAGAAAGGGACGGCUAAAUACGUGCCAGCAGCCGCGGUAAUACGUAUGUCCCGAGCGUUAUCCGGAUUUAUUGGGCGUAAAGCGAGCGCAGACGGUUGAUUAAGUCUGAUGUGAAAGCCCGGAG